GAAGUAUUUCAUCCAGUCGCCGCCGCAAUGCUGGGGCGGAGGAAAGUCCGGGCUCCAAAGGGCAGGGUGCAGGAGAAAUUCCUGUGGGUGCGAAUCCAAGGAAAGUGCCACAGAAAAAAUACCGCCGGCUCCGCCGGCAAGGGUGAAAAGGCGAGGUAAGAGCUCACCGGAUGCGCGGCGACGCGCAUGCCUGGCAAACCCCACCCGGAGCAAGAUCGAAUAGGGGAGGUCGAGGCGGCCCGCUGACUCCCGGGUACGAUCGCUUAUGGAUCGCCGCAAGGCGGUUCUCAGAUAAAUGACUGGACACGACAGAACCCGGCUUACGAAAUGCUUCCCAU
Molecule: RNase P RNA, 338 nt
Filed under: Synergistaceae bacterium
Lineage: Bacteria; Thermotogati; Synergistota; Synergistia; Synergistales; Synergistaceae
Description: RNase P RNA component class A
Rfam family: Bacterial RNase P class A
About the family: Ribonuclease P (RNase P) is a ubiquitous endoribonuclease, found in archaea, bacteria and eukarya as well as chloroplasts and mitochondria. Its best characterised activity is the generation of mature 5'-ends of tRNAs by cleaving the 5'-leader elements of precursor-tRNAs.
Source: RNAcentral